RNAcentral lists this ribosomal RNA (256 nucleotides) under uncultured bacterium. RNAcentral's name for it is "partial 16S ribosomal RNA". It matches the Rfam family "Bacterial small subunit ribosomal RNA", at positions 521 to 776 of the family's 1533-position model. The record is from RNAcentral.
UAAGACGAGGGAUCCUAGCGUUGUUCGGAAUCAUUGGGCGUAAAGCGGAUGUAGGUGGCUUUGUAAGUCAGGUGUGAAAGCCCCGGGCUCAACCCGGGAAGUGCAUUUGAUACUGCGAAGCUUGAGUGCUGGAGAGGCUACUAGAAUACCUGGUGUAGUGGUGAAAUACGUAGAUAUCAGGUGGAAUACCGGAGGCGAAGGCGGGUAGCCAGCCAGACACUGACACUCAGAUCCGAAAGUGUGGGGAUCAAACAGG